CCUACGGGUGGCAGCAGUGAGGAAUAUUGGUCAAUGAACGAGAGUCUGAACCAGCCAAGUAGCGUGAAGGAUGACUGCCCUAUGGGUUGUAAACUUCUUUUAUAUGGGAAUAAAACGUUCCACGUGUGGGAUUUUGUAUGUACCAUAUGAAUAAGGAUCGGCUAACUCCGUGCCAGCAGCCGCGGUAAUACGGAGGAUCCGAGCGUUAUCCGGAUUUAUUGGGUUUAAAGGGAGCGUAGGUGGAUUGUUAAGUCAGUUGUGAAAGUUUGCGGCUCAACCGUAAAAUUGCAGUUGAAACUGGCAGUCUUGAGUACAGUAGAGGUGGGCGGAAUUCGUGGUGUAGCGGUGAAAUGCUUAGAUAUCACGAAGAACUCCGAUUGCGAAGGCAGUUCACUGGACUGCAACUGACACUGAGGCUCGAAAGUGUGGGUAUCAAACAGGAUUAGAUACCCUUGUAGUC
RNAcentral lists this ribosomal RNA (460 nucleotides) under uncultured bacterium. RNAcentral describes it as "partial 16S ribosomal RNA". It matches the Rfam family "Bacterial small subunit ribosomal RNA", at positions 338 to 795 of the family's 1533-position model. The record is from RNAcentral.